UAAUUGCUUCUUUGUGUUUCCAGGACCUGGCAUAAUCCUUGGCACGGAGUAGAUAUUUAAUCCUUGUGAAUAUUUGAAUGCGAUACUAAAUAGAGUUGGAGUGCCUAGUAUAUAUUGGCAACUUGGAGAAACUGUAUAGAUUCUACUUCACUUUUAGGAAGACAGAUGAACUGGCAUCAGAAAAUAGCUGAGAGACCAUUGGAUUUCUCAGAGAUUUUCACGAAAGGACAGUCACAGGAAGGAGCCCUUAAGGCCCGUUAUGAGACCUCACAAAUCAUCACUUUUUAAAGCCCACUUCAAAGGUUAUACAGGAACACAACUGGUAGGGGGGGACCGUGGAAUUCCAUGGACGACAAGUCAACAAUGCCUAGGGAAAAUAUCUAAUAAAAUACUAAUUUUGAAACUGUUUUAUGUAGUUGAGAAGUCCAGAUUAAAAGAAUAACAAUCAAAUGGAAACUGAAUUAAUUGACAGAUUUCAUCUAUGUAUAUAAUUCAGUUCCUGUUUCUAUUCUUGUUUCAAUAGCAGUUUCUCUGCUGCCCUUCUUCACAACAUUGCUGCAAUAAACACCUUACUAUUGUCUGAGUUCUGCAAAGUUGUAUACAAUAUAAUUUCUGGUACAUGUAUGCAUGGAAUUCCUUUAUUACUAACAAUGAACACAAUGGAAGUCUACAUUUAUAUAGUAGUUUAUAUUUUAUUAGUUAUAAAUGUUAGCAACGUGAGGGACCUUAGCAGGUCUAAACAAAUUUGCUCAUUUGAUAGAUGAGGGAACUGAGUCAUAAAGUGAUUAACUUAUUUUUUUCCCCCAUGGAAAAAUUAACCAAAAAUUGUCAUUCAAAGUUAUGUUUUCUAUUAUAUGAAAAGUGAUUGCCAAUGAGACGCUCAAGGUCAAGGUUGAUAUCUGGCUUUAUCUUCUUUUAAAAAUGAAUUUAAUGACUUCAUUAAAAUCUAGGGAUAUAUAAAAGGCAGCAAUACUAUCACUCCAUUAACAGAGAUUUACUUAUCAGGAUUUCAAACAAGGAAUUCAUCAAGCUAAAAUUCUUUCCAGAGAACAGAACUGUCCUAUAUUCAGGGAACAUGAGGCCCAUAUCUUCUGUCAUGCCCUUGAAAAUUCUGACAACAUACUCUAAAAUGGCUGCAAGAGGCUGCUUUCUGUCUCAGCUGGCUCAAGGUAUAGAAACUCUUUGGAGGGCCAAUAUGCUUCGAGCAUCCUGGCAUGUCUGUUCUGAAUCAAGCUUCCAUAUUCCCAAGUUAACCUACCUAGAUAUCCUUAAGGCUGUUUAUCCUUCUAGGUGUCCUUAAGGCUGAGAACUGGCCUUUAGAGGAGAGUCAUCUCCCACAGCGGCUCAAGACCCAAGGCUAUUCAAGAGAAAAGGCAGAAACAAGUACAGGAAAAAAAUAUGCUGAUCUUCCUUCUGGUUCUGAAACAUGCCCAGCACUUGCUCUCUUUGGUUCUUUGCACUCGUCUUUGCCUGCUGAGCCAUGUUGUUCUCCUGCAGAGCAUGAUGUCACAGAACAUUCCCAUCAGCAAGGUCAUCGUGCACCCCACAGAAUAACCACCAUCUCCCCUCAUUAAAACUUCAAUGAGAUAUCACCAUUGACAUUUCAGCAUUUGAUUAUUCUGCGUGUAUUCUCUGAAUGGAAGAAUUAUUGACUACCAAGAAAUUCUGGCUUUUCUGUGAAGAUCAGCCUCUUCCUAAGCUGCAUCAACUUCAAAUAUUCUGCUGGCAGUGUCUGCACAAGAGGCUGCUAGGCUUCAGUCUGCUCGGGCCCUGGGAUUCUACAGGGUCUAGAAUCCUAUGGUGCAUGUCUAUUCAUUUCAAAUAGUUUUCAAAAAUAGAAAAAAUGUGAGAGGAUGAAUGCUUAAUAUUAAAUGAAAGGGAUCUUGUGCUACAAAGCACACAUUCUGCCUCUGUUGUAUAGAAUCCUAAUUUUGAGGUUGAAAUUUAUAUUCUUAAUGUAAUUUCAAAGUGGAACAUAGCUUUUAAAACAGGAAAACAAUAAAGGUGGCCAUGCAUAGCUUACAGAUAUGGCUGUGCUGGUAACGCCUGCACCGUGGUGUCAGGGUUCUCCAUGCAUAGGUUACCUUUAAAGCCAGUCAGGAUACCAAGGUAAGUAUUAAAGCACUUGAACCAUACUCUGAGAAAAUAAGGAGCAAGCGAGGGAGAUGCCUGUGAGUUUUGUAUAAACAUUUCUCAUAUUGAGAUUCCAUUUCUCAUUUUGUUUCUGCCUGGGUUCUCCAGGCACUCUACAUAAUGUUAAUUAUAUCUUACAACUCCAGGAUAUCAUUAAGAAUAUGUGAAAUCCUCAUUUAUAUUAUUUUCAAUUUGCAUGUAUUCUUAUAUAUCUUUUGGACUUGAAAAAUUAUAAAAAGGUAAAAAAUCAAAAAGUCAAAACAAAAAUUUCCUUAUGAAUCUCAAUGAUGAACAUGGAAUAUGUACUUGGUGGUACCCUGUACCCACUAAAUAGAAUUGGUGCUUAUAGCUACAUGUGUUUUACUUUCCAGGCUAUAAGAUAGAAGGCCAUUAAUGGAUUUCUAGUUUCAAACAAGGCAUCUUUAGUUAGAAAAUGCAAAUGAAAAUUUUAGUAACCAGUCCUCUAGCACGAUACUUGCCUUACAUGUGAGAGGUGGUUUUGGAAAUCAGUCACAUCAACUUUCAUUUUCCUUACCUGGACAAUAUUUUCAAAUGCAUUAACUUCUAAUAUAGGUUAUUAAGUAUAUGACAAAUCUGAAUAUCCAUUGUGCAUUUAAUUUCAUAUUUUAAUAUUUUUAUCCACUUACACGAAGAAACAGAUGUAGAAUACUUUUAUUUUAGGGUCAAUUAUACCAUAUUGAUAAAUGAAAAUGACACUGUACCUUAUUAUUAUCAUUAAUAAAACCAUUCCUUCAAUGGGAAACUUCUAUCUUUUUUACCGAAGGCACAAGCUUUUCCUUACCAGUGUAUAUCAUGUGUCUUCUUUCAGGAAACAACAGAUAAAUGAAAAAAGAAAGAGAAACAGUUUACACCAUAACUUUUACCAUUGUCUUCCACCUCCGUGCCCUCCCUCCCUCCUGCCCACAAGCAAAAAUAAAAAAAUUAUUUGAACUUGCCGGAAAGAGUUUGCUGUGACUAAUUGCCUUUCUGGUGUGUGUGUGCCACACUUCAUUUUAUGAUUAAGAUUUCUGACUCAAGAAAUUGUCAGCAAAAGACAAUAUAUCAAAGUUUAAAUAUCAGUAAUAAAACAGUACAGGAGAUAUUCUGUGACUACUUAGAACUGAAAGCGUUUUAUUGAAAAAGGUUUGUUUUCUUUGGCAGCCUUCCAUGACCUCCUACUGUUGACAAAACUAGCAGCCUGUCCUGUUUGAAGUGUAACUGUCAGCAGAAGCUGCUGCUUCAGAGCACUUACAGGAUUUAUCUCUAAUAUUUUCAUCGAACACACUCGCGAUACACCUUACAUAAUCUUUAAAUUAUAGGAAAAUGCUAGAAGGGUGUUCUGCAAGUCACAGUCUGAAGUCAGGGGGGAGAUUUAUGGCUCUUUCCAGUCGACAUUUGUGACUGACCUACAGCACACCAGGGCUGCUAUUUCCCUUUCCUGAUUCAUGAUAAGUGCAGCUGCCUCCAAAUAAGCCCCCCGAGCCCAUUAAUGCUUAGUCCAUUCCCUUAUGGUAAAUAUGCACAUCUCCAGUCUCACUUUUUAAUGUUCAGCUGUGAUGAAGUUGAAUAGAAAACCAGGUUGCCUUAGCUUACUUGAAACCCUUUGCCAAGUAAGUGCCUCGCCAUCAAAGCGUGGGUGCCCCAAAGUCCAUCUUACCUCUGGCUCUAAUUAAGGUGAUGCUUUCCAGUCUAGUUUACUCACAAAAAAAUUGCAAAAUCGUUUUCCCCUUGCAACCUGGGUUUUAAGGUCCUGGACUGUGAUGCCUUCCAUUUUUCGCUGCCAGCACCCUAUCUAAUUAACAAAAUUGCAUCAAGAUUGAUAUGAAGGUAAAUAUUAAAGGCACAAAAGGGAAGGGGAAGCAAAUUAUUUAAAAUGUCAGAAAAGCCAAGACAUUCAUCUUCCCUGCCGCAAUUUGUUUUUCAUUAAUAAAAUAUACAUUGUUUUCCACUCGGAAAAGUUAUUAGUGGCAACACAGUCUGCAUGAAGCUUUGUCUCUUCCAAAAUGAAGUCUUUGUUUAGACAUUGGUGAUGGGGGUUUUGUGUCAUUGUCUAAUCUGUCAGAUUAGAUGAGCAAGUGUAUUUAGGGGUGUAAAGAUGUGCAGCCACACCUGCUGUGCAAAGCUGUGAAUUCACAACUCUUCUGACUAUUAAAAUGUGUUAUGCUGGGAGCUCUUUUGUUGUAAUAAAACUGUUGGUGGUUGCGUGUUUGAAGUGGCGCAAGUGUCAGGCCUUAUUACAAUCAUAAUAAUCACACCAAAAGUAACCUCAUAUUUUGACUAUUUAAUGUUAAUGUGGAACAAAUUAAAGGCUAAGCACCUAAUAGAUUCGGAGAUGUUAAAUUGAUUUUGCACUCAAAUUUUUCUAAGGAAAAACAGAAGUCCAUUAAUGAAAUAGUAUUCACGGUCCAGAAAAAACUAUAGUCAUCUGAAGAAGAGUUUUGAAAUAAUAUAGGAAGCAGACAAAGGAUACACAACAAAAUAU
Molecule: long non-coding RNA, 4615 nt
Organism: Aethalodelphis obliquidens (Pacific white-sided dolphin)
Lineage: Eukaryota; Metazoa; Chordata; Mammalia; Artiodactyla; Delphinidae
Exons: 5
Source: RefSeq, a predicted model, not a curated record